RNAcentral lists this long non-coding RNA (578 nucleotides) under Panax ginseng (ginseng). RNAcentral's name for it is "long non-coding RNA (PGIN_LNC001236)". Lineage: Eukaryota; Viridiplantae; Streptophyta; Magnoliopsida; Apiales; Araliaceae. The record is from RNAcentral.
UUGUCAGGGGUUAAUCUUGAAGGUAUCAAGUUUUGUUCCACUCUUAUUAAUCCUGUAUGUUCAUCUGUUCAUACUUUUCAUGAUUUGUGGAUUAUUGAUUCUGGUGCUACUGAUCAUAUUACCCAUUCAUUCUCAAAUCUUGUUAAUCUUAUACUUGUUACUUCCUUCAUACACCUACCUAAUGGAAUAGUAUCUUCUAUUACUUAUACAGGCACAGUUAAUCUUACUUCAACUCUCACUCUCUUUAAUGUUCUCUUCGUUCCUGAUUUCCAAUACAACUUGAUUUCUGUUAGUAAACUGUCUUCUAACAAUGCUUGUUGUGUUCUCUUUUCUCCUCACCAAUGUGUUUUUCAGGAACCUGUGUUGAAGACUUUGAAAGGGACUGGUAAUCUGGAUGGUGGCUUGUAUAUUUUUCAAGAUUCAAGCUCAGCAACUCAUUCUAGCAAUAUUUCUUCUAGUACUGUUACUUCUGCUUCCAUUAUAAAUUUAGUUGUAUCCAAUAAAUUGUGGCAUUUUAGACUUGGUCAUCCACCUCUUAAUGUUCUAAAUAAAAUUUCCUCUCUUUCUUUGGAGAACAA